CUCUUCUAACCUUAUCUAAGGCGUUUUAUACUAGUUUUCUUUGAUGACAUCUUAAUUUAUAGUACAUCCAUGACAGACCAUAUUCAACAUCUCAACAUUGUUCUCCAAUUACUUCAGACUCACCAGUUUUUUGUUAAAGAAUCAAAAUGCAAUUUUGCAGCCCCUACAAUUGCCUAUUUGGGCAAUAUCAUUCAACAGGGAACGGUUUCCCCGGAUUCAUAAAAAAUUCAAGCUAUUCUACAGUGGCCCGAGCCCAAAUCAUUCACUACGUUGCGUGCGUUUUUUGGCAUUACGGGGUUUUAUCGGAAGUUUAUUCACGGAUAUGCCACUCUUGCCUCUCUACUCACGGAUUUACUCAAAUUGAAAGUUUUUACAUGGAAUCACAUGGCCAACACAACCUUUCUACAGUUCAAAAAUAUCCUAACUACACCUCCUAUCUUGAACCUCCCUGAUUUCACCAUUCCUUUUGUAGUAGAAACAAACACUUCCAAUUUCGUCAUUGGAGUUGUUUUAUCUCAAGCAGGGCACCUUAUUGCCUUCUUCAGUAAGAAGCUAUGUCCAAAGAAACAAAGCAGUUCAGUAUACGUUAAAGAGAUGCUAGCAAUUGCUGAAUCUGUUAAGAAAUGGAGGCACUAUCUCAUUGGCAAUCACUUUCAAAUUAUCACAGACCAACAAAGUUUAAGGGGAUUACUUACCAGCACUUGCCAUACACCGGAACAACAAAAAUGGGCUUCACGACUUAUUGGGUACAGUUUUGAUAUCCUUUAUCGGCCCGGACGUCACAACCAAGUUGUUGAUUUCCUUUCCAGGCUACCACCCUCAGUUUUCUUAACCAUCUCUUCCCCACUACCCGAGCUCAUCACCAAAUUAAAAAAAUACUAUUAGACAACAAAUGGACAACAAGAAAAAACAAAAUUGAUAGGUAUUCUCAAUUCAAAUUUCAAUUUUCACAAUGACUUACUGUACCACGGCCAGAACUUUACAUUCCAUCAGCAAUCAACCUCCGCCCAUCCAUUCUUCACGAGUUUCAUGCAACCCCAUCCGCAGGGCAUUCCAGUCUCAAAGCCACUCUAGCUCGUUAAGCUGCCUCUUUCUAUUGGUUAGGUAUGUACAAAGACACAAAAUUGUUCAUCAAAGAGUGUCUCCCCUGCCAACAGAACAAACCCAUCAACAAAAAUCCUUAGGAUUAUUACAACCCCCCCCAACCAGAAUUUGGGAUGAACUAACAACUAAUUUUAUUACCCACUUACCAUCAUCUUUCGGCCAUACGGUUAUUUUGGUGGUCUGUGACCGACUUUCAAAAUCAGCUCAUUUCAUAGCCCUCCCCACAUCCUUCACCGCCUUCCAUCUAGCCAAUCAUUUUUCUGUGGAGAUCUAUAGGUUGCAUGGCAUUCCGAAGUCCAUAAUCUCAAACUGAGACCCGCUCUUCCUCAGUAACUUCUGGAAUGAGCUUUUUCACCUACAAGGCACAAAACUGAAAUUUAGUACGGUUUAUCACCCUCAGAUAGAUGGUCAAACCGAGGUUAUCAACAAAAGUUUAGAGAUAUACCUUCGGUGUUUCACCAGUGACCAUCUGCGGAGUUGGUACAAAUACUUACACCUCGUCGAGUUUUGGUACAAUUCUUCUUACCAUUCGGCCAUCAAAACAACCCCGUUCCAAGCAUUCUAUGGAAGACCACCACCAUCUAUCCCGGAUUAUGUGUCCGGUACUGCAUCAGAACCCAAUCUGGAAACCACCCUCAAAGAGCGAACGCAGAUAUUGCAUCAGUUGAAGACAAAUUUGCCGUUGUCACAACAACACAUGGCCAAGACAGCGAACAUUGGACGACGUCAUUAUGUUUUCAUCGUCAGCGAUUGGGUACUCCUCCGACGAAAGGCUUACCGCCAAACAUCCCUCACCGGCUCCCCUCACCACAAGCUUUCCCGAAAAUUCUAUGGCCCAUACCCUAUUACCAAACACAUUGGUGAAGUGGCUUAUGAAUUAGCUCUCCCACCAGAUUUCAAGAUUCACCCAGUAUUUCACAUAUCUCUUCUCAAACCAUAUCAUGGACCAAAACCCCCUCUACCCCACCACCCUCCCAAUUAGGAAAUAAACUCGCACCUUUUGCACCCUCCCAACAUAAACCUAAGUGAAACCUUAAGUGAGACUUCA
Molecule: long non-coding RNA, 2152 nt
Filed under: Phaseolus vulgaris (common bean)
Lineage: Eukaryota; Viridiplantae; Streptophyta; Magnoliopsida; Fabales; Fabaceae
Description: long non-coding RNA (PVUL_LNC000840)
Source: RNAcentral